UACGUAGGGGGCUAGCGUUGUCCGGAAUCAUUGGGCGUAAAGCGCGCGUAGGCGGCCCGGUAAGUCCGCUGUAAAAGUCAAAGGCUCAACCUUUGAAUGUCAGUGGAUACUGCCGGGCUAGAGUCCGGAAGAGGGGAGUGGAACUCCUGGUGUAGCGGUGGAAUGCGCAGAUAUCAGGAAGAACACCGACGGCGAAGGCAGCUCGCUGGGACGGUACUGACGCUGAGGCGCGAAAGCGUGGGGAGCGAACAGG
This 253-nucleotide ribosomal RNA is filed under the name uncultured bacterium. RNAcentral describes it as "partial 16S ribosomal RNA". It matches the Rfam family "Bacterial small subunit ribosomal RNA", at positions 524 to 776 of the family's 1533-position model. The record is from RNAcentral.